RNAcentral lists this ribosomal RNA (613 nucleotides) under Proteus mirabilis. RNAcentral describes it as "bacterial SSU rRNA". It matches the Rfam family "Bacterial small subunit ribosomal RNA", at positions 767 to 1379 of the family's 1533-position model. Lineage: Bacteria; Pseudomonadati; Pseudomonadota; Gammaproteobacteria; Enterobacterales; Morganellaceae. The record is from RNAcentral.
AGCAAACAGGAUUAGAUACCCUGGUAGUCCACGCUGUAAACGAUGUCGAUUUAGAGGUUGUGGUCUUGAACCGUGGCUUCUGGAGCUAACGCGUUAAAUCGACCGCCUGGGGAGUACGGCCGCAAGGUUAAAACUCAAAUGAAUUGACGGGGGCCCGCACAAGCGGUGGAGCAUGUGGUUUAAUUCGAUGCAACGCGAAGAACCUUACCUACUCUUGACAUCCAGCGAAUCCUUUAGAGAUAGAGGAGUGCCUUCGGGAACGCUGAGACAGGUGCUGCAUGGCUGUCGUCAGCUCGUGUUGUGAAAUGUUGGGUUAAGUCCCGCAACGAGCGCAACCCUUAUCCUUUGUUGCCAGCACGUAAUGGUGGGAACUCAAAGGAGACUGCCGGUGAUAAACCGGAGGAAGGUGGGGAUGACGUCAAGUCAUCAUGGCCCUUACGAGUAGGGCUACACACGUGCUACAAUGGCAGAUACAAAGAGAAGCGACCUCGCGAGAGCAAGCGGAACCCAUAAAGUCUGUCGUAGUCCGGAUUGGAGUCUGCAACUCGACUCCAUGAAGUCGGAAUCGCUAGUAAUCGUAGAUCAGAAUGCUACGGUGAAUACGCUCCCGGGC